UUGCUGCAGCAGCACAUACAUUAAAAUUGGAACUAUACAGAGAUUUGUAAGGCCCUUGGACAAGGAUGACAAACAAAUCCCUGAAGUGCUUCAUAUUAAA
This 100-nucleotide small nuclear RNA is filed under the name Zalophus californianus (California sea lion). Lineage: Eukaryota; Metazoa; Chordata; Mammalia; Carnivora; Otariidae. The record is from RNAcentral.